Molecule: long non-coding RNA, 1083 nt
Filed under: Sinocyclocheilus anshuiensis
Lineage: Eukaryota; Metazoa; Chordata; Actinopteri; Cypriniformes; Cyprinidae
Description: lncRNA (ENSSANG00000009729.1)
Source: RNAcentral
CGCCUGUUACAAGUCACCAAGACCCGGACCACACCAUACCAUCCAGCUUCAAAUGGGCAAGUGGAAAGAUUCAAUAGAACGUUAUUGCAGAUGAUACGGUGUUACGUGGAUCAAAGUCAACGGAAUUGGGAUGAACAUCUUCCCCUACUCACUGCGGCGUACAGGAGCACUGUGCAUUCAGCAACAGGUUUCACACCAAAUCAGCUGAUGCUGGGCCGAGAAGUUUUCCAACCACAUGACAUCUGGCUAAGGACAGCUGAAGUUACCAGGGAAGCUAGAGAAACACCUGAGUUUGUUCAUGAACUGCAAGCUAACCUGCAGCUUGCUCAUCAAGUAGCGCGUCAGAACUUACACUCUGCUCAGAUUCGCCAGAAGAAGGUCUAUGACUUACGAGCCAGAGAGAAGUCCUACCAAGCGGGUGAUCUUGUUUUAGUGAGGGUCAGUAGCAGGAAAAAGGGGUACAGUCCAAAACUUCAAGCUCCACGGCAGGGGCCAUUCGUUGUCGCAGAAUGCCUUGGACCAGUGCUCUACCGUGUCAAAGACAGACGAAGUGAGAAAGUACUGCAUCAUGAUCGUUUACAACCCUAUCAAAGUGAUCACAUCCCUACCUGGAUGCAGCGGCUGCGACGGAAAUACACUGGCACUGAGGAAGUCUCAUUGGUUCCAAAAACUGACCAGGAACCUGUAGUCGCUGCAGCAGAAGCGUCAAAUCCGUCACCCUCCGACAACUCUUUCUCAAAAGAGCCUCAGACCCUUCUCACAAAGCUUGCUCAUCAAGUAGCGCGUCAGAACUUACACUCUGCUCAGAUUCGCCAGAAGAAGGUCUAUGACUUACGAGCCAGAGAGAAGUCCUACCAAGUGGGUGAUCUUCUUUUAGUGAGGGUCAGUAGCAGGAAAAAGGGGUACAGUCCAAAACUUCAAGCUCUAUGGCAGGGGCCAUUCGUUGUCGCAGAAUGCCUUGGACCAGUGCUCUACCGUGUCAAAGACAGACGAAGUGAGAAAGUACUGCAUCAUGAUCGUUUACAACCCUAUCAAAGUGAUCACAUCCCUACCUGGAUGCAGCGGCUGCGACGGAAAUACACU